This 465-nucleotide ribosomal RNA is filed under the name uncultured bacterium. RNAcentral's name for it is "bacterial SSU rRNA". It matches the Rfam family "Bacterial small subunit ribosomal RNA", at positions 28 to 507 of the family's 1533-position model. The record is from RNAcentral.
GACGAACGCUGGCGGCGUGCCUAACACAUGCAAGUCGAACGGGACAGAGAGCUUCGGUUUUCUGUUUAGUGGCGAACGGGUGAGUAACGCGUGAGGAACCUGCCUUCCAGUGGGGGACAACAGUUGGAAACGACUGCUAAUACCGCAUAACAUGUACGGAUCGCAUGGUCUGUACAUCAAAGCUUUAUGUGCUGAAAGAUGGCCUCGCGUCUGAUUAGCUAGUUGGUGAGGUAACGGCCCACCAAGGCGACGAUCAGUAGCCGGACUGAGAGGUUGAACGGCCACAUUGGGACUGAGAUACGGCCCAGACUCCUACGGGAGGCAGCAGUGGGGAAUAUUGCACAAUGGGGGGGAACCCGUGAUGCAGCGACGCCGCGUGAGUGAAGAAGUAUUUCGGUAUGUAAAGCUCUAUCAGCAGGGAAGAUAAUGACGGUACCUGACUAAGAAGCCCCGGCUAACUACGUG